AAUACCGAUGGCGAAGGCAGCCAUCUGGCCUAAUACUGACGCUGAGGUACGAAAGCAUGGGGAGCAAACAGGAUUAGAUACCCUGGUAGUCCAUGCCGUAAACGAUGUCUACUAGCCGUUGGGGCCUUUGAGGCUUUAGUGGCGCAGCUAACGCGAUAAGUAGACCGCCUGGGGAGUACGGUCGCAAGACUAAAACUCAAAUGAAUUGACGGGGGCCCGCACAAGCGGUGGAGCAUGUGGUUUAAUUCGAUGCAACGCGAAGAACCUUACCUGGUCUUGACAUAGUAAGAACUUUCCAGAGAUGGAUUGGUGCCUUCGGGAACUUACAUACAGGUGCUGCAUGGCUGUCGUCAGCUCGUGUCGUGAGAUGUUGGGUUAAGUCCCGCAACGAGCGCAACCCUUUUCCUUAUUUGCCAGCACUUCGGGUGGGAACUUUAAGGAUACUGCCAGUGACAAACUGGAGGAAGGCGGGGACGACGUCAAGUCAUCAUGGCCCUUACGACCAGGGCUACACACGUGCUACAAUGGUCGGUACAAAGGGUUGCUACCUAGCGAUAGGAUGCUAAUCUCAAAAAGCCGAUCGUAGUCCGGAUUGGAGUCUGCA
RNAcentral lists this ribosomal RNA (604 nucleotides) under Acinetobacter sp. R126(2010). Its description in RNAcentral is "bacterial SSU rRNA". It matches the Rfam family "Bacterial small subunit ribosomal RNA", at positions 705 to 1309 of the family's 1533-position model. The record is from RNAcentral. Lineage: Bacteria; Pseudomonadati; Pseudomonadota; Gammaproteobacteria; Moraxellales; Moraxellaceae. RNAcentral also lists the same sequence under 1 other name.